Molecule: ribosomal RNA, 180 nt
Filed under: uncultured bacterium
Lineage: Bacteria
Description: partial 16S ribosomal RNA
Rfam family: Bacterial small subunit ribosomal RNA
Source: RNAcentral
GCUCAGAUUGAACGCUGGCGGCAGGCCUAACACAUGCAAGUCGAGCGGCAGCACGGGAAGCUUGCUUCCUGGUGGCGAGUGGCGGACGGGUGAGUAAUGCAUAGAAAUCUGCCCGGUAGUGGGGGAUAACCUGGGGAAACCCAGGCUAAUACCGCAUACGUCCUACGGGAGGCAGCAGUA